RNAcentral lists this ribosomal RNA (440 nucleotides) under uncultured bacterium. Its description in RNAcentral is "partial 16S ribosomal RNA". It matches the Rfam family "Bacterial small subunit ribosomal RNA", at positions 338 to 795 of the family's 1533-position model. The record is from RNAcentral.
CCUACGGGAGUCAGCAGUGGGGAAUAUUGCACAAUGGGGGAAACCCUGAUGCAGCGACGCCGCGUGAGUGAAGAAGUAAUUCGUUAUGUAAAGCUCUAUCAGCAGGGAAGAACAUGACGGUACCUGCGUCAGAAGCCCCGGCUAACUACGUGCCAGAAGCCGCGGUAAUACGUUGGGGGCAAUCGUUAUCUGUAUUUACUGGGUGUAAAGGGAGCGUAGACGGCAGUGCAAGUCUGGAGGGAAAGGCGGGGGCCCAACCCGCGGACUGCUCUGGAACCUGUACGGUUGGAGUGCAGGAGAGGGAAGGGGAAUUCCGAGGGGAGCGGUGAAAUGCGGAGAGAAUAGGGGGAACACCAGUGGCGAAGGCGGCUUACUGGACUGUAACUGACGCUGAGGCGCGAAAGCGUGGGGAGCAAACAGGAUUAGAUACCCAUGUAGUC